UACAGAGGGUGCAAACGUUGCUCGGAAUUACUGGGCGUAAAGCGCGUGUAGGCGGUUCCGCAAGUCAGGUGUGAAAGCCCAGGGCUCAACCCUGGAAGUGCACUUGAUACUACGGAGCUUGAGUACUGAAGAGGAGAGCGGAAUUCCCGGUGUAGAGGUGAAAUUCGUAGAUAUUGGGAAGAACACCAGUGGCGAAGGCGGCUCACUGGUCCGAUACUGACGCUGAGGUGCGAAAGCGUGGGGAGCAAACAGG
RNAcentral lists this ribosomal RNA (253 nucleotides) under uncultured bacterium. Its description in RNAcentral is "partial 16S ribosomal RNA". It matches the Rfam family "Bacterial small subunit ribosomal RNA", at positions 524 to 776 of the family's 1533-position model. The record is from RNAcentral.